This 381-nucleotide unclassified non-coding RNA is filed under the name uncultured bacterium. RNAcentral's name for it is "contains 16S-23S intergenic spacer region". The record is from RNAcentral.
UCCGGUUUGGCACCGGCAGUCCUCCCAGAGUCCCCGACUUCACUCGCUGGCAACUGGGAGCGGGGGUUGCGCUCGUUGCGGGACUUAACCCAACAUUUCACGACACGAGCUGACGACAGCCAUGCAGCACCUGUGCUGGCGCUCCGAAGAGGGGCCGAUGUUUCCACCGGCUUGCACCAGCAUGUCAAGCCCAGGUAAGGUUCUUCGCGUUGCUUCGAAUUAAACCACAUGCUCCACCGCUUGUGUGAGCCCCCGUCAAUUCCUUUGAGUUUUAGCCUUGCGGCCGUACUCCCCAGGCGGGGCACUUAAUGCGUUAGCUGCGGCACGGAAACCGUCGAUAGGUCCCCACACCUAGUGCCCAACGUUUACGGCGUGGACUAC